UGAACGCUAGCGGCAGGCUUAACACAUGCAAGUCGAGGGGUAACGGGGAAGCUUGCUUCCGCCGACGACCGGCGCACGGGUGCGUAACGCGUAUACAAUCUACCUUGUACUGGGGUAUAGCCUUUAGAAAUGAAGAUUAAUCCCCCAUAGUCUCUUAGAGUGGCAUCACUUCUAGAGUAAAGGUUACGGUAUAAGAUGAGUAUGCGUUCUAUUAGUUUGUUGGUGUGGUAACGGCACACCAAGACUACGAUAGAUAGGGGCCCUGAGAGGGGGAUCCCCCACACUGGUACUGAGACACGGACCAGACUCCUACGGGAGGCAGCAGUGAGGAAUAUUGGACAAUGGAGGCAACUCUGAUCCAGCCAUGCCGCGUGCAGGAAGACUGCCCUAUGGGUUGUAAACUGCUUUUAUACAGGAAGAAACACCUCUACGUGUAGAGGCUUGACGGUACUGUAAGAAUAAGGAUCGG
This 469-nucleotide ribosomal RNA is filed under the name uncultured Bacteroidota bacterium. RNAcentral describes it as "bacterial SSU rRNA". It matches the Rfam family "Bacterial small subunit ribosomal RNA", at positions 30 to 496 of the family's 1533-position model. Lineage: Bacteria; Pseudomonadati; Bacteroidota. The record is from RNAcentral.